This 843-nucleotide long non-coding RNA is filed under the name Oryza sativa Indica Group (long-grained rice). RNAcentral's name for it is "lncRNA OsKYG_08g0007470". The record is from RNAcentral. Lineage: Eukaryota; Viridiplantae; Streptophyta; Magnoliopsida; Poales; Poaceae.
CCGACCACACCGUCUCCUCGCGUUUUCUCUCACGAGAGGAGAAAUCAGCGAAGAAAGCGCCGCCGCUUCACCCGCGUCGCCUCCUCCGCCGCCAUCCCUUUUCCUCCCUCUAACUCCCUAAUUCCGCCGAGCUUCUUUGCCGCAACCACCGUUCGUCGUCCAAGUUUCAUCGUCUGUUGGAUCCAGCGCCUCACAGGUGAGGAGCACUCCGACCUCUUCGGCAUCUCCGCCUCGACCGUGGGCUAGGUGUCAUCGCAAGCUGCCGGCGCUGGUUCAUCUCCGCCUGACGAUCUCGACCUUCCAGUCGUCUAUGGUGAGGUUCUGAUCGAUUCCGCUGGCCAUCGGUGCUUCCUCCACAUCCAGACCAUGACCCAUCAACUCUUGGACUGAUCCCAUAUCGGUUUGCCAUUCAUAAUAGUAGUUGACAUUAACAGCUCGAUGCAUUAUGGCAAACAAGAGCAAUUGUUUCUUUCGGAUGAAAAUGUGUUGUGGUACCUUUAUACAGACCUGCACAACAAGGGGAUAGCUUUAGCAGCAUCCAGUACUAGCUCAUGUGUAAAAUUGCUAUGGAUAAACGUUAUGAUGUGAUGUUUUUAUCGAGCUAAAGCACUACAUUUCUUUGCAACGCAAGUUCUAUUGAAGAGAUCCGUUUGUAUAUAUGUCAGACCACCUUCUAAUUGCGCUUUAUAACCACUUAGUUUCCCUAAUAUAAUCCACUGUACGUAUGCGCCACUUUUCUGUGGUUGCUAUUUUUGCUCAAGUGUACAUGAUCAUACAGAUAGCACUCCAAACAAACCGAUCAAAACAACUCAUAUUUGAACUUUGGUGGUAUGGUUCGAAUGU